RNAcentral lists this small RNA (191 nucleotides) under Nocardioides sp. AX2bis. RNAcentral describes it as "c-di-AMP riboswitch aptamer (ydaO/yuaA leader)". It matches the Rfam family "c-di-AMP riboswitch aptamer (ydaO/yuaA leader)". Rfam says of the family: This family represents a conserved RNA structure found upstream of the ydaO and yuaA genes in Bacillus subtilis and related genes in other bacteria. The ydaO/yuaA element is thought to act as a genetic "off" switch for the ydaO and yuaA genes in its native state. Lineage: Bacteria; Bacillati; Actinomycetota; Actinomycetes; Propionibacteriales; Nocardioidaceae. The record is from Rfam by way of RNAcentral.
AGCGCGGUCACGCCGAAUCCUGCCCGCCGUCGCUGUAACCCACCACGGGCAGGAGCGGGGGACCCAGGUUCCACGCGGCCGCCGACACCCGUCCCGACGGGACGGCGGCCACUCGGGGCGAAGCCACUGCGGUGGCGGGGCACCUUUCUGCUCCAGCCCGACAGCUCACUUCGCAGGCGCGGGAAGGAACU